Molecule: unclassified non-coding RNA, 178 nt
Filed under: soil metagenome
Description: partial internal transcribed spacer 1
Source: RNAcentral
CAAGAAGCCGAAAGGCUACUUAAAACCAUCGCGAACUUAUCCAAGUUGCUUCGGCGGCGCGGCUCCCCUCACGGGGGACCGCAGCCCUACCCGCCUCUCACGAGGCAAGGGGCAGCCGCCUGGAGGUACGAAACUCUGUAUUAUAGUGGUAUCUCUGAGUAUAAAACAAAUAAGUUAA